Molecule: ribosomal RNA, 253 nt
Filed under: uncultured bacterium
Lineage: Bacteria
Description: partial 16S ribosomal RNA
Rfam family: Bacterial small subunit ribosomal RNA
Source: RNAcentral
UACAGAGGUCUCAAGCGUUGUUCGGAUUCAUUGGGCGUAAAGGGUGCGUAGGCGGCGCGGUAAGUGGGGUGUGAAAUCUCGGGGCUUAACUCCGAAACUGCAUUCCAUACUGCGGUGCUUGAGGACUGGAGAGGAGACUGGAAUUCAUGGUGUAGCAGUGAAAUGCGUAGAGAUCAUGAGGAAGACCAGUGGCGAAGGCGGGUCUCUGGACAGUUCCUGACACUGAGGCACGAAGGCCAGGGGAGCAAACGGG